GAUGCAGCCAUGCCGCGUGUGUGAAGAAGGCCUUCGGGUUGUAAAGCACUUUCAGUAGGGAGGAAGGUAGUGUAGUUAACACCUGCAUUAUUUGACGUUACCUACAGAAGAAGCACCGGCUAACUCCGUGCCAGCAGCCGCGGUAAUACGGAGGGUGCGAGCGUUAAUCGGAAUUACUGGGCGUAAAGCGCAUGCAGGCGGCCUGUUAAGUCAGAUGUGAAAGCCCGGGGCUUAACCUCGGAAUUGCAUUUGAAACUGGCAGGCUAGAGUCUUGUAGAGGGGGGUAGGAAUUUCAGGUGUAGCGGUGAAAUGCGUAGAGAUCUGAAGGAAUACCAGUGGCGAAGGCGGCCCCCUGGACAAAGACUGACGCUCAGAUGCGAAAGCGUGGGGAGCAAACAGGAUUAGAUACCCUGGUAG
Molecule: ribosomal RNA, 417 nt
Filed under: uncultured bacterium
Lineage: Bacteria
Description: bacterial SSU rRNA
Rfam family: Bacterial small subunit ribosomal RNA
Source: RNAcentral